UAGGCAAUCUUCCGCAAUGGGCGAAAGCCUGACGGAGCAACGCCGCGUGAGUGAUGAAGGUCUUCGGAUCGUAAAACUCUGUUAUUAGGGAAGAACAAAUGUGUAAGUAACUAUGCACGUCUUGACGGUACCUAAUCAGAAAGCCACGGCUAACUACGUGCCAGCAGCCGCGGUAAUACGUAGGUGGCAAGCGUUAUCCGGAAUUAUUGGGCGUAAAGCGCGCGUAGGCGGUUUUUUAAGUCUGAUGUGAAAGCCCACGGCUCAACCGUGGAGGGUCAUUGGAGACUGGAGAACUUGAGUGCAGAAGAGGAGAGUGGAAUUCCAUGUGUAGCGGUGAAAUGCGCAGAGAUAUGGAGGAACACCAGUGGCGAAGGCGACUUUCUGGUCUGUAACUGACGCUGAUGUGCGAAAGCGUGGGGAUCAAACAGG
RNAcentral lists this ribosomal RNA (429 nucleotides) under Actinomycetes bacterium. RNAcentral's name for it is "Actinobacteria bacterium partial 16S ribosomal RNA". It matches the Rfam family "Bacterial small subunit ribosomal RNA", at positions 355 to 776 of the family's 1533-position model. The record is from RNAcentral. Lineage: Bacteria; Bacillati; Actinomycetota; Actinomycetes.